This 484-nucleotide ribosomal RNA is filed under the name uncultured bacterium. RNAcentral describes it as "partial 16S ribosomal RNA". It matches the Rfam family "Bacterial small subunit ribosomal RNA", at positions 30 to 507 of the family's 1533-position model. The record is from RNAcentral.
AUUGAACGCUGGCGGCAGGCCUAACACAUGCAAGUCGAGCGGAUGAAGGGAGCUUGCUCCUGGAUUCAGCGGCGGACGGGUGAGUAAUGCCUAGGAAUCUGCCUGGUAGUGGGGGAUAACGUCCGGAAACGGGCGCUAAUACCGCAUACGUCCUGAGGGAGAAAGUGGGGGAUCUUCGGACCUCACGCUAUCAGAUGAGCCUAGGUCGGAUUAGCUAGUUGGUGGGGUAAAGGCCUACCAAGGCGACGAUCCGUAACUGGUUUGAGAGGAUGAUCAGUCACACUGGAACUGAGACACGGUCCAGACUCCUACGGGAGGCAGCAGUGGGGAAUAUUGGACAAUGGGCGAAAGCCUGAUCCAGCUAUGCCGCGUGUGUGAAGAAGGUCUUCGGAUUGUAAAGCACUUUAAGUUGGGAGGAAGGGCAGUAAGUUAAUACCUUGCUGUUUUGACGUUACCAACAGAAUAAGCACCGGCUAACUUCGUG